RNAcentral lists this ribosomal RNA (792 nucleotides) under uncultured Bacillota bacterium. RNAcentral's name for it is "bacterial SSU rRNA". It matches the Rfam family "Bacterial small subunit ribosomal RNA", at positions 557 to 1349 of the family's 1533-position model. The record is from RNAcentral. Lineage: Bacteria; Bacillati; Bacillota.
GGCGUAAAGCGAGCGCAGGCGGAAAAAUAAGUCUAAUGUGAAAGCCCUCGGCUUAACCGAGGAACUGCAUCGGAAACUGUUUUUCUUGAGUGCAGAAGAGGAGAGUGGAACUCCAUGUGUAGCGGUGGAAUGCGUAGAUAUAUGGAAGAACACCAGUGGCGAAGGCGGCUCUCUGGUCUGCAACUGACGCUGAGGCUCGAAAGCAUGGGUAGCGAACAGGAUUAGAUACCCUGGUAGUCCAUGCCGUAAACGAUGAGUGCUAAGUGUUGGGAGGUUUCCGCCUCUCAGUGCUGCAGCUAACGCAUUAAGCACUCCGCCUGGGGAGUACGACCGCAAGGUUGAAACUCAAAGGAAUUGACGGGGGCCCGCACAAGCGGUGGAGCAUGUGGUUUAAUUCGAUGCAACGCGAAGAACCUUACCAGGUCUUGACAUCUAGUGCAAUCUGUAGAGAUACGGAGUUCCCUUCGGGGACGCUAAGACAGGUGGUGCAUGGCUGUCGACAGCUCGUGUCGUGAGAUGUUGGGUUAAGUCCCGCAACGAGCGCAACCCUUAUUGUUAGUUGCCAGCAUUAAGUUGGGCACUCUAAUGAGACUGCCGGUGACAAACCGGAGGAAGGUGGGGAUGACGUCAAGUCAUCAUGCCCCUUAUGACCUGGGCUACACACGUGCUACAAUGGGCAGUACAACGAGACGCAAGCCUGCGAAGGCAAGCGAAUCUCUGAAAGCUGUUCUCAGUUCGGACUGCAGUCUGCAACUCGACUGCACGAAGCUGGAAUCGCUAGUAAUCGCAGAU